This 142-nucleotide small nucleolar RNA is filed under the name Pelusios castaneus (West African mud turtle). Its description in RNAcentral is "Small nucleolar RNA SNORA14 (ENSPCEG00000014705.1)". It matches the Rfam family "Small nucleolar RNA SNORA14". Rfam says of the family: ACA14 is a member of the H/ACA class of snoRNA that guide the sites of modification of uridines to pseudouridines. Lineage: Eukaryota; Metazoa; Chordata; Testudines; Pelomedusidae. The record is from Rfam by way of RNAcentral.
UUGCAUUCUCAAACCCCUCUGGUAGCUUUGCUGUCAUAGCUUCCAGGAUAAGAAUGAAUGCAAGAAAAAGCUGAAGAUCUAUCCAAAAUGUGGAGCUAGUUUCCUGUGGCUCUUCAUUAUUUCAUGUCUUCAACAACAGUUU